CAGAGACUCUUGACUAUAUACGACGGCAAGCCAAAUUGGAUGACAAGGAUUGCAUGGUUCACAAGUUUCAUAAAACUGCCUCUACCCUACACAAACUUAAGUUUUCCUGUGGACGAAGCAAAGAUGAAUGGGCAAAGAUAAUGGAAGGUGUGACAGAAGAGGACUACAUGAGAAGGAUGGAGGUGGUUUACUGUGCUGCAUGUGACAUUCACAUUCCUGUGGUUUUCAGCUCUGUACAGCAACAUCUUCAUUCACUCACUCACAUCAAGAGCAAAGUUG
This is a long non-coding RNA of Cyprinus carpio (common carp), 279 nucleotides long. RefSeq lists it as uncharacterized. Lineage: Eukaryota; Metazoa; Chordata; Actinopteri; Cypriniformes; Cyprinidae. The transcript has 3 exons. The record is from RefSeq and is a predicted model, not a curated record.